UCCAGACUCCUACGGGAGGCAGCAGUGGGGAAUAUUGGGCAAUGGGCGAAAGCCUGACCCAGCAAUGCCGCGUGAAUGAAGAAGGUCUUAGGAUUGUAAAAUUCUGUCCUAUGGGAAGAAACAAAUGACGGUACCAUAGGAGGAAGCCCUGGCUAACUACGUGCCAGCAGCCGCGGUAAUACGUAGGGGGCAAGCGUUAUCCGGAUUUACUGGGUGUAAAGGGAGCGUAGACGGAAAGGCAAGUCAGAAGUGAAAGCCCAAGGCUCAACCAUGGGACUGCUUUUGAAACUGUCGAACCAGAGUACGGGAGAGGUAAGAGGAAUUCCUAGUGUAGCGGUGAAAUGCGUAGAUAUUAGGAGGAACACCAGUGGCGAAGGCGUCUUACUGGACCGAAACUGACGUUGAGGCUCGAAAGCGUGGGGAGCAAACAGGAUUAGAUACCCCUGUAC
RNAcentral lists this ribosomal RNA (449 nucleotides) under uncultured bacterium. RNAcentral describes it as "partial 16S ribosomal RNA". It matches the Rfam family "Bacterial small subunit ribosomal RNA", at positions 330 to 793 of the family's 1533-position model. The record is from RNAcentral.